AAGGAUCAUUACCGAGUUGUCGAAACAGGCUGCUGCUGGCUCCUUUCGGGAGCAUGUGCACGCUCGUUCGCAUCCCAUCCUUCACACUUGUGCACUACCUGUAGUUCCGAGCUGAUUAUCAGAGGUGCUUGCUCACCUCGAAAGAAAAGCUCGGUUCUAUGUCUUUUCAACGAUUCCAUAGUUCAAUAGAAUGUGUUCACGGGCGUGUACAACGUCCGAUAAUAAUAUGUAUAACUUUCAGCAACGGAUCUCUUGGCUCUC
This 261-nucleotide unclassified non-coding RNA is filed under the name uncultured fungus. RNAcentral describes it as "partial contains 18S rRNA, ITS1, 5.8S rRNA, ITS2 and 28S rRNA". The record is from RNAcentral. Lineage: Eukaryota; Fungi.